RNAcentral lists this ribosomal RNA (449 nucleotides) under uncultured bacterium. Its description in RNAcentral is "partial 16S ribosomal RNA". It matches the Rfam family "Bacterial small subunit ribosomal RNA", at positions 338 to 795 of the family's 1533-position model. The record is from RNAcentral.
CCUACGGGCGGCUGCAGUAAGGAAUAUUGGUCAAUGGAGGAAACUCUGAACCAGCCAUCCCGCGUGAAGGAUGAAGGGGCUCUGCCUUGUAAACUUCUUUUGUCUGGGGCGAAAAAGCUCGAUUUAUCGAGAACUGACGGUACCAGAAGAAUAAGCACCGGCUAACUCCGUGCCAGCAGCCGCGGUAAUACGGAGGGUGCAGGCGUUAGGCGGAAUCAGUGGGUUUAGGGGGUUCGGUGGGGGAGUGGUGGAAGGCUGUGGCUUAACCAUGGAAUUGCCAUUGAUACUGCAGAGCUUGAAUGAGGUUGAGGUUGGCGGAAUGUGACAUGUAGCGGUGAAAUGCUUAGAUAUGUCAUGGAACACCGAUUGCGAAGGCAGCUGACUGGACCUAUAUUGACGCUGAGGCACGAAAGCGUGGGGAGCGAACAGGAUUAGAUACCCGUGUAGUC